UAAGAUUGAUCCUAGAGAGAGAAGCCGAAC
Molecule: non-coding RNA, 30 nt
Filed under: Macaca fascicularis (crab-eating macaque)
Lineage: Eukaryota; Metazoa; Chordata; Mammalia; Primates; Cercopithecidae
Also listed under: 1 other name
Source: RNAcentral